ACCAAGUUAUGAUGAUCAAUUAUGAGAAUGCAAAAGGAUUGAUAGAUUAGUAAACAAGCAACAAAAAGAUGGGUGCUCAUGGUGGCCUCCAAAUAAAUACAUGGACAGGCUGCUAAAGAGGGUCAGGAUGAUGGAGAUGCAAGAGCCAAAGACAGCACAGACCAAACACCAGGCCAGAAUUCUGCAUGAGUCAGCUCCAGUGAGUGUCUCUAAGGUAGAUCCUAAUGCAGAUGGAUGGAAUGUUGAUCCGCCU
This is a non-coding RNA of Paramisgurnus dabryanus, 253 nucleotides long. The record is from RefSeq and is a predicted model, not a curated record. Lineage: Eukaryota; Metazoa; Chordata; Actinopteri; Cypriniformes; Cobitidae.